CAUUCCAUCGAACAAACGCGCGUCAGAAUGCCGAGCAGCUGAUCCAGGCGCGCGUCUAAAAAUAAUCAACUUUAUUCUCCCCGGAAUGAAAAUUUGUCCGUGAGGAUUGCGGGACUUCUGUCUUCUUGUUGAGCGCGGCCAUGGGCUUGUCGUUUUGCGGCGAGAACGAGAGCGGCUACAGCGUGGACGAGGGCGUGCUGAACAACGGCUGCUUCGUGGACGCCCUCAACCUGGUGCCUCACGUCUUCCUGCUCUUCAUCACCUUCCCCAUCCUCUUCAUCGGAUGGGGCAGUCAGAGCUCCAAGGUGCAAAUCCAUCACAACACGUGGCUGCACUUCCCGGGACACAACCUGCGAUGGAUCCUCACCUUCUCGCUGCUCUUUGUCCACGUCUGCGAGUUCGCCGAGGGCGUGGUGUCCAACAAGAUGAUGGUCACCAACCACCUGCACCUCUUCAUGCCAGCCUUCAUGGGAUUUGUGGCGGCCACCACGUCGGUGGUGUACUACCACAACAUUGAGACCUCCAACUUCCCCAAACUUCUCCUGGGUGAGAUUUGCGUUACAAUGCUAGAAAUCGUGGGGGGGUCCAAAGCGCACUCCCGAUUGUCGUCCGCAGUUCUAUUCAUCUACUGGGUGCUGGCCUUCAUCACCAAAUCCAUCAAGCUGUGGAAGUUUGCCGAGGACAAGGUGGACGUCCACCAGCUGAGAGUCUGCAUCACGGCGCUGCUGGUGCUGCUCUACGGCCUGCUCAUGGCCGUGGAGGUCAACGUGAUCAGGAUCAGGAAGUACGUCUUCUUCGCCAACCCUCAGAAGGUGAAGCCCCCCGAAGACUUGCAGGAUCUGGGGGUCCGCUUCCUGCAGCCCUUUGUCAACUUGCUCUCAAAGGCGACGUAUUGGUGGAUGAACCCCCUGAUCAUGGGGGCCCACAAGAGACCCAUCGAGCUGAAGAAGAUCGGCAAACUGCCCAUCGCCAUGCGAGCUCUCACCAACUACCUGCGACUUAAAGACGCCUACGAGGACCAGAGGACGGCCGAGAACCCGGAGCGGGCGCCGUCCAUCUGGCGCUCCAUGUAUCGGGCGUUCGGGCGACCCAUCUUGCUCAGCAGCACCUUCCGCUACCUGGCCGACCUGCUGGGCUUCGCCGGCCCGCUCUGCAUCUCGGGCAUCGUCUGGAACCUCACGCCGGAGGGAGACGCCGGCUCCACUUCGGACAAAAAGGAGAGGUACUUUGGCGUCCACCACAUGCUGUUCACCGAGCUGCUCCAGAACACGUCGGUUCUGGCCGUGCUGCUCUUCCUGGCGCUGGUGCUGCAGAGGACCUUCCUGCAGGCGUCCUACUACGUCACCAUCGAAACCGGCAUCAACCUGCGAGGAGCCCUGCUGGCGAUGAUUUACAACAAGAUCCUGCGUCUGUCCACGUCCAACAUGUCCAUGGGCGAGAUGACGCUGGGCCAGAUCAACAACCUGGUUGCCAUAGAGACCAAUCAGCUGAUGUGGUUUCUCUUCCUAUGUCCCAAUCUGUGGGCCAUGCCUGUGCAGAUCGUGAUGGGAGUGCUUCUUCUUUACUACCUGCUUGGCUGGAGUGCCUUAGUGGGCGCGUCCGUCAUUGUUCUUCUGGCUCCGGUUCAGUACCUCAUUGCCACCAAGCUGGCCGACAUGCAAAAGAUCACCCUGGAGCACUCCACCGACAGGCUGAAGAAGACCUCGGAGAUCUUGAAGGGCAUCAAGCUGCUGAAGCUCUACGCUUGGGAGAACAUCUUCUGCGACAGCGUGGAGGAGACGCGAGGCAAAGAGCUGACCAGCCUCAAGACCUUUGCCUUCUACACUUCCAUGUCCAUCUUCAUGAACGCCGCCAUUCCCAUCGCCGCCGUCCUGGCGACCUUCGUCAUGCAUUACUUCCUCACCGACACGGGUCCGAGUCCCGCGGAGGCCUUUGCCACUCUGGCGCUCUUCAACAUCCUGGUCACGCCGCUCUUCCUGCUGUCCACCGUCGUCCGCUUCGCCGUCAAGGCGCUCCUCAGUGUCCAGAAGCUGGGCGAGUUCCUCCAAAGCGACGAGAUCGGAGACGACAGCUGGAGGAACGGCGAGGUGUCCGUCCCGUCCGAGGCGGCCAAGAAGCACCCUGGAGGGACCAAAGCCAUCAACAGGAAGCAGCCUCUCCGCUACCAGAUGGACAACUACGAGCAGCCGUCCAGGCGGCAGAUGAGACCCAGCGAGACGGAAGAUGUGGCCGUCAAGGUGAGCAACGGAAGCUUCACCUGGGGAAGCAACCUGUCCACGCUGAGCGACAUCAACAUCCGCAUCCCGACAGGUCAGCUGACCAUGAUCGUGGGCCAGGUGGGCUGCGGGAAGUCGUCGCUGCUGCUCGCCAUGCUGGGCGAGAUGCAGAGCAUCAGCGGCCGCAUCCACUGGAGCAACCACCUGGAAGCGGCGGAGGACGAGGCCGGUGACCACGCCGCAAGCAAGAACCGCUACUCGGUGGCCUACGCCACCCAGAAGUCGUGGCUGCUCAACGCCACGGUGGAGGACAACAUCACCUUUGGGAGUCCCUUCAACAAGCAGAGGUACAAGGCGGUGAUCGACGCCUGCUCUCUCCAGCUGGACAUCGACCUGCUGCCCUUCGGAGACCAAACGGAAAUCGGGGAACGAGGCAUCAAUCUGAGCGGCGGGCAGCGCCAGAGGAUCUGCGUGGCUCGAGCGCUCUACCAGAACACCAACAUCGUCUUCCUGGACGACCCCUUCUCCGCCCUGGACAUCCACCUGAGCGACCACCUGAUGCAGGACGGCAUCCUCAAGUUCCUGCAGGACGACAAGCGGACCGUGGUGCUCGUCACGCACAAGCUGCAGUACCUCAUCCAUGCCGACUGGAUCAUUGCUAUGAAGGACGGCUCCGUGUUGAGGGAAGGAACUCUGAAGGACAUCCAGACGCACGACGUGGAGCUCUACGACCACUGGAAGACGCUCAUGAACCGGCAGGACCAGGAGCUGGAGAAGGACAUUGAGCAGGACAGCCAAACCACCCUGGAGAGGAAGACUCUCCGCCGAGCCUUCUACCCCCGAGAGACCAAAAACCAGAUGGACGACGAGGAUGAAGAGGAGGAAGAGGAGGAGGAAGAUGAAGACAACCUGUCCACCACCACAAACAGGAGAUCCAAGGUCCCGUGGAAGGACUGCUGGUGCUACUUCUCCUCGGGUGGCUUCUUCAUGGUCUUCCUCAUGAUGUCCUCCAAGCUCCUCAAGCACUCGGUCAUUAUGGCCAUCGACUACUGGUUGGCCAUCUGGACCUCCGAGCACACCAACCAGACCAUGGUGGUGGGAUCCAACGGGACGUGCCAGGUCCAAGCGGUCAACAAAAGCCCCGCCGACUCAGAGGACUCCUUCUACCUGACGGUGUUCAUAGUUCUUUGCGCGGCCGGGAUCGCGCUGUGCCUCAUCACCUCGCUCAGCGUGGAGUUCUUGGGGCUCUCUGCGGCCACCAACCUCCACCACAACCUGCUCAACAAGAUCAUCCACGCUCCUCUCAGGUUUUUUGACAUCACCCCCCUGGGGCAGAUCCUCAACAGGUUCUCAGCUGACACAAACAUCAUCGACCAGCACAUUCCUCCUACCCUGGAAUCCUUGACGCGCUCCAGCUUCCUUUGCUUGUCCGCCAUCGGUGUCAUUUCCACCAUCACGCCUUACUUCAUCAUCGCCCUGGUGCCCCUGGCCGUGGCCUUCUACUUCAUCCAGAAGUACUUCCGGGUGGCCUCCAAAGAUCUUCAGGACCUCGACGACUCCACGCAACUUCCCCUGCUGUGUCAUUUCUCCGAGACGGCUGAAGGUCUCACCACCAUCAGAGCCUUUAGACACGAGGCCCGCUUCAAGCAACGCAUGCUGGAGCUGACCGACACCAACAACACGGCGUACCUCUUCCUCUCGGCCGCCAACCGCUGGCUGGAGGUCCGCACGGACUACCUCGGAGCCGUGAUCGUGCUGGCCGCGGCCGGCGCGUCCAUCUGGGGUUUGGGUUGCGGCCAACCGACCGGAGGUCUGGUGGGCUUGGCUCUCACCUACGCCCUGACGGUCACCAACUACUUGAAUUGGGUGGUGAGGAACCUGGCCGACCUGGAGGUGCAGAUGGCGGCCGUCAAGAAAGUCAACAGCUUCCUCGGUACCGAGUCUGAGAACUACGAGGGAUCCAUGGAUUCUUCUCAGAUGCCGGAGACGUGGCCCGAGCACGGAGAAAUCAAGAUCCAAGACCUGUGCGUGCGCUACGACCCCAUGCUCAAACCCGUGCUCAAGCACGUCAACGCUUACAUCCAGCCGGGUCAGAAGGUGGGAAUCUGCGGCCGCACGGGAAGCGGCAAGUCCUCGCUCUCCUUGGCCUUCUUCAACAUGGUGGACAUCUUCGAAGGAAAGAUCGUCAUCGACGGCAUCGACAUCUGCAAACUUCCCUUGCAGACGCUGCGCUCUCGGCUGUCCAUCAUCCUGCAGGACCCCAUUUUGUUUAGUGGCUCCAUAAGGUUCAAUCUGGACCCGGAGCGGACGUGCAACGACGAGCGCCUGUGGGAGGCGUUGGAGAUCGCCCAGCUGAAGAACAUGGUCAAGGCGCUACCGGGAGGACUGGAUGCGGUGGUGACAGAGGGCGGCGAGAACUUCAGCGUGGGGCAGCGGCAGCUCUUCUGCUUGGCUCGGGCCUUUGUGAGGAAGAGCAGCAUCCUCAUCAUGGACGAGGCCACCGCCUCCAUCGACAUGGCAACGGAGAACAUCUUGCAGAAAGUUGUGAUGACGGCCUUUGCCGACCGCACCGUUGUGACCAUCGCCCACCGCGUCUCUUCCAUCCUGGAAGCUGGGCAGGUGCUGGUCUUCUCCUCUGGGAUUUUGGUGGAAUGUGACUCGGGUCCCAACUUGCUAGCACAGCAGGAGAGCCUCUUCAGUGUGCUCGUGCGAACACACAAGUAGAACCGGACCGGACCAGCCCACGUGGACUCGGCCCCACCCACUCCUAUUCUCUUUCCGUUUCUUCUUCUUCUUCUUCUCGCCACCGGGGGCUGGUUCUGGUCCUGGUUCUGCCAGAGACAACCUGCACCGCGUGCACACCAUCCUGACGGCCGACCUGGUGAUCGUCAUGAAGCGCGGGAACAUCCUGGAGUACGACAAGCCCGAGACGCUUCUGGAGCAGGAGGACGGCAUGUUUGCCUCCUUCGUCAAGGCUGACAUGUAGCCC
Syngnathus typhle (broad-nosed pipefish) is the source of this 5205-nucleotide RNA transcript. It is a transcript of the gene named ATP-binding cassette, sub-family C (CFTR/MRP), member 9, with no coding region annotated. Lineage: Eukaryota; Metazoa; Chordata; Actinopteri; Syngnathiformes; Syngnathidae. The transcript is spliced from 42 exons. The record is from RefSeq and is a predicted model, not a curated record.